Molecule: ribosomal RNA, 482 nt
Filed under: uncultured bacterium
Lineage: Bacteria
Description: partial 16S ribosomal RNA
Rfam family: Bacterial small subunit ribosomal RNA
Source: RNAcentral
AUUGAACGCUGGCGGCAUGCCUAACACAUGCCAGUCGAACGGAAAAGGGCAUCUGGGUGCUGACGUGAGGGGAAGAGGGGUGAAAUAUACCUGAAAGUGUGCCUGCUAGGGGGAUAACGCGGCGAAAAAUUUGCUCUAAUACCACAUGCUCCCCGGAUGAAAGCAGGGGAGAGCUAGGCCUCUCGCGCACUGAGAGGACCAUGGCUGGUUAGAUAGUUGGUGGGAUAAAAGCGUACAAAGAGGACGAUCUGUAGCUGGUCUGAGAGGAUGAUCAGCCACACUGGAACUGAGACACGGCCCAGACUCCUACGGGAGGCAGCAGUGGGGAAUUUUGGACAAUGGGCGAAAGCCUGAUCCAGCCAUGCCGCGUGUAGGAUGAAGGUCUUCGGGUUGUAAAGUACUUUUAUUCGGGAGGAAGGGCAGUCUGUUAAUACAUUAGUGUCAUGACGUUACCAAAAGAAUAAGCACCGGCUAACUACGUG